Molecule: microRNA, 22 nt
Filed under: Penaeus japonicus
Lineage: Eukaryota; Metazoa; Arthropoda; Malacostraca; Decapoda; Penaeidae
Description: mja-miR-6493-5p
Source: miRBase by way of RNAcentral
ACGUCCGGCAGGUUUUACCCCU